Molecule: ribosomal RNA, 460 nt
Filed under: uncultured bacterium
Lineage: Bacteria
Description: partial 16S ribosomal RNA
Rfam family: Bacterial small subunit ribosomal RNA
Source: RNAcentral
CCUACGGGAGGCAGCAGUGAGGAAUAUUGGUCAAUGGGCUUACGCCUGAACCAGCCAAGUCGCGUGAGGGAAGACUGCCCUAUGGGUUGUAAACCUCUUUUGUCAGGGAGAAACGCCGGCUACGUGUAGCCGGACUGAGAGUACCUGAAGAAAAAGCAUCGGCUAACUCCGUGCCAGCAGCCGCGGUAAUACGGAGGAUGCGAGCGUUAUCCGGAUUUAUGGGGUGUAAAGGGUGCGUAGGCGGAAUGCCAAGUCAGCGGUAAAAUCGCGGGGCUCAACCUCGCUCCGCCUUUGAAACUGGCGUUCUUGAGUGGGCGAGAAGUAUGCGGAAUGCGUGGUGUAGCGGUGAAAUGCAUAGAUAUCACGCAGAACUCCGAUUGCGAAGGCAGCAUACCGGCGCCCAACUGACGCUGAAGCACGAAAGCGUGGGUAUCUAACAGGAUUAGAUACCCCAGUAGUC